GUCUACAGCCAUAAUACUCUGCAUGUGCCCAGUUUGAUCUCGGAAGCUAAGCAGGGUCAGACCUGGUUAGUACUUGGAUUGUAGAAC
Molecule: ribosomal RNA, 87 nt
Filed under: Fukomys damarensis (Damara mole-rat)
Lineage: Eukaryota; Metazoa; Chordata; Mammalia; Rodentia; Bathyergidae
Source: RNAcentral